UUACCUAGUAGAGUCAUGUGUGAAUCAAAUGAGUUCUUACCUGAAAGGACUUAGCACAGUGCCUGGCAUACAGAGAGUCCUCAGUAAAUAUUGGCUGUUCUUAUUGUUAUUAUUAACCUGUUCCCCAAGAUCAAAAUCGGGGUGUAGUGUGUGCUGACGAAUGAAUGCGCUCCUGGUUGCAUGACUUAAUAAGCAAUGCGUCUGAGGCAAGGGCUGAACUAUGAGAAUGGGCAAGGUGGAGCUGGAAAGGCAGGUCAGGUACAGGAAACGCACCUUGAAGGUAGCUCAGGGUGCUGCCCUGGUGCACUUCCUCCACUCCCCCAAGAGGUGUGUGGAGCUGAUCUGUGGGCCCUAGGAGAGGAUCUGUGUUUGGGGGAGUGUGUGGAGAAUGAUCAUUAGCAAGAUGAGAAGGGAAGGGCAGUGGAAGUGGGGAGAUCAUGUAAGAGGGGGUUGACUCAUCUAGGAAGCAAUAACGAGCCCUAGGGAAGACAACUGUGGUUGCAACAGAUGGUAGAGACAUUUUGGAGACAGAACCAACUCCUUCAAAGCAAACUCAGAAAGACAAUCUACUUUUUAUGCUCUAUCAGGUAGCAAAAAUACGAUUAACAUGAAUGAUGUGAUUCUUACCUACUGUUAAUUUCUAAACAGACUUUGAUUUUUAUUAACAGGCUUUGGGGCCUAUUAUUCAACAGAGAAGCAGACUGUUUUUCUCAUGGGGAAUGAUUAGACUAGAAAAAAAAAAUAAGGAAAUUCUUUCCUUGCUAGGUAAUAAUAGAGAGAUAUAGCAAGCGUGGCCAAAAUACAACAUGAAGGAAAGCUCUGGAACCUGCUGUUGUGAAACAGUUCUUGUCAGACCUCAGUGAGUACUGUAGCAGUUUCUCUCAGAAGUUAAAACAGGAAAUACACACCUGAUUAAACUCCUUUAAGUUCGGAUAGCUGCUGCUGCAGGUUUGAAAACCCUGGCAUUUCAAAAUCUCAAUAAAGUGACUUUCGAAGCAACAGAAGGGCAAACCUUUGAUAAGGCUGCAAGCCCUGCAAGACUGCACAUGGAGGUGAUGCUGCUGGGGGAGGUGAGGCACCUGAGGAAGGAACCUCGAUGAACUCAGGCACCUGUGGAGCACGCGGAUCCUGCUGCAUGCUUUCCUACGGGGCACUUAGAAACACUUCCAUUUUUUGAAAUCUUGCUUUCUUUGGGGUAUUUCUCCAUUUAAUCCAGUGGUUCUCAAAGUGUAGUUCUGAGACCAGCAGCAUCAGUAUCACCUGGGAACAGGCUUCUCUUGAGCUGCCCACGAGCUUCCUUGGAUGUGUGUCACCAAAAGAGCAAUGGUUACAGAAGAUGAGAAAAACCUAAGAGUGCAUGCAGCCACACGCCUCACACGCCCCUCCCCAGGGAUGGUGCUCAGUGAGGACUUUGCAUGCUGAGGCUUGAUUCCUAGUGGCAUGCGAGGGCAGAGGCCCCGAGCAGGACACGCCUGUCUUUAGCCACCUUCAGUGCAGACAGGGAAAAAGGCAGGCAGACUAAAGCCUGAGCCAACAGGUAGACCUAAAUGGAAUGGGUUUUCCAAGCUGUGAGAGACCCACCUUGAAAGUGGCCCAGAUGCUGUCUGGGCCUGCCCUGGUGGGGGUCUCAGAAGUGAAGAGGGGGCCUUCCUGAACUCUGAAGGGACCAAAUGUGAGACGGACCCUGGACCCGUGGUAGGGAGGGCUGUCAGCCAGGGCCUUCCCUUCUCUGCCCAACAUUGUUGGCUCUGAGUCUGUUUUUUUCCAACAGAACCAGAUUUUUUGUCAUAAAAUUCUUGGACUACUUGAGCUUCUGGAUUAUAAUGUCCUUUUUUUUUUUUUUUUUCCACAGUGAUGAUAGCUUUGGCCUCUCUUAUAAACACCUAAUGGGCAGAAAUUUUCUCCUUCAGAAGAAUAACAAAAAGAAAACACCAAGGAGCUUUCAUUAUAGUGCAGCUUCUUCUCUGGUUGAUGAGAGGCAUGACUGUGACCUGAAGCUGAUUUUGUUUAUUUGAAAGGAAAGACAAUUGUUCAUUCACUCAACAAACAUUUACUAAACACAUAGAGCUGCUGGGCUUCUGCUUGGCGUUGGGCAUAUUGUCAGCUCCAGCUCUGAAGGAACCAUGAGGUGAGGGGAUAAACAUGGGAAAAAUCACAGUUCAGGCAUCCAUGUACUGAUACCAACUGGUUUACACAGGCUGAAUAAAAGAAGAACAAAAAGCCUUCUAAGCAGACAAUAGAGAAUGUGUAAGCAGCAUGAAGUCAGGGGUAGUGAAACCAAGACCCCUAAAACCGAGUUCCCCUGCUGAGUUUGAUUAACCUCUCUGUCUAAAAUUAUUCCCUUUCUUGCUCCUUCUGACCUCAAUCCUGGGCUAACUGAACACUAAUCAACCAGAGUCAGAUGACUAAAACUGCUGUUGUCGAUAACAUCGUUAACCUACAAACUCAGGUUUUUUCUCCAGGACAAGAUGAGCUAACAGACCCCCAAGCCAUGGACCACCUGGCCAGAGAUAGUAAACCAGAGACAUCCUGACUCCUGAAACUACGAUUACGUUAUUAACCCCAGCUUCUUUGUUCUUCCCCUUAAAAAACCCUCUAACUCAAAGACUGAGUGGGAGUGAAUCUAAGGCGUGUCUCCCACUCCCUUGCUUGGCGCCCUGCAAUAAACCCUCACUUUGCCGCUAA
Molecule: long non-coding RNA, 2685 nt
Organism: Aethalodelphis obliquidens (Pacific white-sided dolphin)
Lineage: Eukaryota; Metazoa; Chordata; Mammalia; Artiodactyla; Delphinidae
Exons: 3
Source: RefSeq, a predicted model, not a curated record